Molecule: ribosomal RNA, 468 nt
Filed under: uncultured bacterium
Lineage: Bacteria
Description: partial 16S ribosomal RNA
Rfam family: Bacterial small subunit ribosomal RNA
Source: RNAcentral
GACGAACGCUGGCGGCGUGCUUAACACAUGCAAGUCGAACGGAAAGGCCCUGCUUUUGUGGGGUGCUCGAGUGGCGAACGGGUGAGUAACACGUGAGUAACCUGCCCUUGACUUUGGGAUAACUUCAGGAAACUGGGGCUAAUACCGGAUAGGAGCUCCUGCUGCAUGGUGGGGGUUGGAAAGUUUCGGCGGUUGGGGAUGGACUCGCGGCUUAUCAGCUUGUUGGUGGGGUAGUGGCUUACCAAGGCUUUGACGGGUAGCCGGCCUGAGAGGGUGACCGGCCACAUUGGGACUGAAAUACGGCCCAGACUCCUACGGGAGGCAGCAGUGGGGAAUAUUGCACAAUGGGCGGAAGCCUGAUGCAGCAACGCCGCGUGCGGGAUGACGGCCUUCGUGUUGUAAGCCGCUUUCGCCUGUGACGAAGCGUGAGUGACGGUAAUGGGUAAAGAAGCACCGGCUAACUACGUG